UGAGCCACCGCGCCCGUCUGAAAGCAUAUUCUUUUAAGGUUUUGUUAUUGUUUUUCCAUGUAGCACUGACAGAUUUGUACUAAUUCUUUGCUUCUCUGGUUGCUAGAUAGCUUUAGAAUUGUCAGCUGAGGCUCUUGAAGAGCAAAACUAAACUACCUUAGUUGGCUUAGAUAGGGAAAUAAUCUGACUUUUAGGAUUAUUUGCAGUAUAAAUGAUUUCAAACACUAAAGGUUGACAAAGAAGCAUUUAUAGUUCACUGAGAAGGCUAUCUUAUUUCAGAUUCCA
RNAcentral lists this long non-coding RNA (285 nucleotides) under Homo sapiens (human). RNAcentral describes it as "non-protein coding lnc-EIF4A2-2:1". The record is from RNAcentral. Lineage: Eukaryota; Metazoa; Chordata; Mammalia; Primates; Hominidae.